RNAcentral lists this ribosomal RNA (253 nucleotides) under uncultured bacterium. RNAcentral describes it as "partial 16S ribosomal RNA". It matches the Rfam family "Bacterial small subunit ribosomal RNA", at positions 524 to 776 of the family's 1533-position model. The record is from RNAcentral.
UACGGAGGGUGCGAGCGUUGUCCGGAAUUAUUGGGCGUAAAGAGCUCGUAGGCGGUUUGUCGCGUCGGCUGUGAAAACCCGGGGCUCAACCCCGGGCCUGCAGUCGAUACGGGCGGGCUGGAGUUCGGUAGGGGAGACUGGAAUUCCUGGUGUAGCGGUGAAAUGCGCAGAUAUCAGGAGGAACACCGGUGGCGAAGGCGGGUCUCUGGGCCGAUACUGACGCUGAGGAGCGAAAGCGUGGGGAGCGAACAGG